GAGAGAGAGGUUGUCAACAAAUCUAACUUUCCUAACCAAUUUCUUUCUAGAUUAUUCUGCCAUUGCUCUGUCAUCAAUUCCAUAUGAUUAUUUUUCCAGCUGCACAGCAAGUCCACGUGGUUUCCUUCUUGCCAAUAUUUCAGCUGAGCCAUCUUCGACCCUGCUUCCUUCCAGAGUUCCAGCUGAGCUAUCUUCUAAC
RNAcentral lists this long non-coding RNA (199 nucleotides) under Olea europaea (common olive). RNAcentral describes it as "long non-coding RNA (OEUR_LNC009452)". Lineage: Eukaryota; Viridiplantae; Streptophyta; Magnoliopsida; Lamiales; Oleaceae. The record is from RNAcentral.